CCUUGUGGAGGAGGACGCCGAAGGUGGGGCUAAUGACUGGGGUGAAGUCGUAACAAGGUAGCCGUACCGGAAGGUGCGGCUGGAUCACCUCCUAACAGGGAGACAACAAAAUGUUAAAUAUUAAUUUUGUCACCUUAGGUCGAUCGGUAUCUCAUGUUCUUAAUUAUUUUAAGAAUUUCAUUUCCUAAGUUUUUUCUAGGUCACACCCAUUACUUUUCCUGGGCCAUUAGCUCAGGUGGUUAGAGCGCACCCCUGAUAAGGGUGAGGUCCCUGGUUCAAGUCCAGGAUGGCCCAUAUCUCUAUGUUGGGGGUAUAGCUCAGUUGGUAGAGCGCCUGCUUUGCAAGCAGGAUGUCAGCGGUUCGAGUCCGCUUACCUCCACUGAUUACCACCUCUUACAUAAAUUUAAAGAAGGGAAUUGUUAAUAAUAGGUGAUUUAGUUCUGAACGAAUCUAGCUUCCUAAUAAAUACAUUAAGAUGCUGGACUCAUUGAAUUUUAUUCAUUGUUUUCAGAGAACCUUGACAACUGCAUAGAUUAUUUUUAAAGACAAUAAGCAUCUUUAAUGAUGCAGAUUUAUUAUUUGUGCUAAUGCAUUAAUAACAAUUCUAUUGAGCUGAUGCUUCAAUUUUUUGAAGUUAUUGGUCAAGCUACAAAGGGCUCACGGAGGAUACCUAGGCACACAGAGGCGAUG
RNAcentral lists this unclassified non-coding RNA (690 nucleotides) under uncultured Prochlorococcus sp. Its description in RNAcentral is "partial may contain 16S ribosomal RNA, 16S-23S ribosomal RNA intergenic spacer, and 23S ribosomal RNA". The stretch from base 1 to 95 matches the Rfam family "Bacterial small subunit ribosomal RNA", at positions 1439 to 1533 of the family's 1533-position model. The record is from RNAcentral. Lineage: Bacteria; Bacillati; Cyanobacteriota; Cyanophyceae; Synechococcales; Prochlorococcaceae.